Molecule: transfer RNA, 92 nt
Filed under: Streptomyces sp. ADI92-24
Lineage: Bacteria; Bacillati; Actinomycetota; Actinomycetes; Kitasatosporales; Streptomycetaceae
Description: tRNA-Thr
Source: RNAcentral
GACGCCGCGAGUGCCAGGAACACCGCGCUGCUGGUCACGGCGGGCGCCGCGGGGACGGCGCUGCUCGUGGCGUUCCUCGCCGCGGCGCUGCC